AUGCUCGGCAGCGUUCAUUUCCAUAUUUUGAAAAGCCGUUUCCUGUUUUACAGCCGGGCAGUAAAAUCAGCUGCAGAGAGGAGGUUCCCAUUACCCAGAAUGCCCGGGGUUGGUCUCAGGGAUCUGGAGAUGAAUCCACAGAUUUAUCAGACUGGAAAGGAUCCAGCGGAGAGUUAACGCCGUCUUUCAUCUGCUGCCAAACGUGUGAGGAGAGAGCGGUGGAGACGGCGAGCGCUGCAGUCUUCCCUCUGAUAUGAGUCUGAUAUAUGAGUCUGAUAUAUGAGUCUGAUGUGAGUCUGAUGUGAGUCUGAUAUAUGAGUCUGAUAUAUGAGUCUGAUAUAUGAGUCUGAUAUAUGAGUCUGAUAUAUGAGUCUGAUAUAUGAGUCUGAUGUGAGUCUGAUUUGAUAUGAGUCUGAUAUUUGUGAGUCUGAUGUGAGUCUGAUGUGAGUCUGAUUGUGUAUGAGUCUGAUAUAUGAGUCUGAUAUAUGAGUCUGAUAUAUGUGUCUGAUAUAUGAGUCUGAUGUGAGUCUGAUAUGUGAGUCUGAUGUGAGUCUGAUGUGAGUCUGAUAUAUGAGUCUGAUAUAUGAGUCUGAUGUGAGUCUGAUAUAUGAGUCUGAUGUGAGUCUGAUAUGAGUCUGAUGUGAGUCUGAUAUGAGUCUGAUAUGAGUCUGAUAUGAGUCUGAUAUAUGUGUCUGAUAUAUGAGUCUGAUGUGAGUCUGAUAUGUGAGUCUGAUGUGAGUCUGAUAUAUGAGUCUGAUAUGAGUCUGAUAUGAGUCUGAUAUAUGAGUCUGAUGUGAGUCUGAUAUAUGAGUCUGAUAUGAGUCUGAUAUGAGUCUGAUGUGAGUCUGAUAUGUGAGUCUGAUAUAUGAGUCUGAUGAUGUGAGUCUGUCUGAUAUGUGAGUCUGAUAUGAGUCUGAUAUGAGUCUGAUAUUUGAGUCUGAUGUGAGUCUGAUAUAUGAGUCUUUGAUAUGAGUCUGAUAUAUGAGUCUGAUAUGAGUCUGAUAUGAGUCUGAUAUAUGAGUCUAUAUGAGUCUGAUUGAGUCUGAUAUAUGAGUCUGAUGUGAGUCUGAUAUAUGAGUUGAUUGAGUCUGAUAUGAGUCUGAUAUAUAUGAGUUUGAGUCUGAUAUAUGAGUCUGAUAUGAGUCUGUAUAUGAGUCUGAUAUGAGUCUGAUAUGAGUCUGAUAUGAGUCUGUUGAGUCUGAUAUGUGAGUCUGAUAUGAUGAGUCUGAUAUAUGAGUCUGAUAUGAGUCUGAUAUGAGUCUGAUAUAUGAGUCUGAUAUAUGAGUCUGAUAUGAGUCUGAUAUGUGAGUCUGAUAUAUGAGUCUGAUGUGAGUCUGAUAUAUGAGUCUGAUGUGAGUCUGAUAUAUGAGUCUGAUAUAUGAGUCUGAUAUGAGUCUGAUAUGAGUCUGAUAUAUGAGUCUGAUUGAGUCUGAUAUGAGUCUGAUAUAUGAGUCUGAUAUGAGUCUGAUAUGAGUCUGAUAUGAGUCUGAUAUAUGAGUCUGAUAUAUGAGUCUGAUAUGAGUCUGAUAUAUGAGUCUGAUGUGAGUCUGAUAUAUGAGUCUGAUAUGAGUCUGAUAUAUGAGUCUGAUAUAUGAGUCUGAUAUAUGAGUCUGAUAUGAGUCUGAUAUAUGAGUCUGAUGAUAUGAGUCUGAUAUAUGAGUCUGAUAUAUGAGUCUGAUAUGAGUCUGAUGUGAGUCUGAUAUGAGUCUGAUAUAUGAGUCUGAUAUAUGAGUCUGAUAUAUGAGUCUGAUGUGAGUCUGAUAUGAGUCUGAUAUAUGAGUCUGAUAUAUGAGUCUGAUAUGAGUCUGAUAUGAGUCUGAUAUGAGUCUGAUGUGAGUCUGAUAUAUGAGUCUGAUGUGAGUCUGAUGUGAGUCUGAUAUAUGAGUCAGACAGAAACAGUCAGUAACAGACAGAAACAGACAGAAAGAAACAGACCGAAACAGCCAGUAACAGCCAGAAACAGAUAGAAACAGUUAUAAACAGACAGAAACAGAUAUAAACAGAUAUAAACAGUCAGAAACAGUUAUAAACAGACAGAAACAGAUAUAAACAGUCAGAAACAGUUAUAAACAGACAGAAACAGAUAUAAACAGAUAUAAACAGUCAGAAACAGUUAUAAACAGAUAUAAACAGUCAGAAACAGUCAGAAACAGACAGAAACAGAUAGAAACAGUUAUAAACAGACAGAAACAGAUAUAAACAGAUAUAAACAGUCAGAAACAGUUAUAAACAGACAGAAACAGAUAUAAACAGUCAGAAACAGUUAUAAACAGACAGAAACAGAUAUAAACAGAUAUAAACAGUCAGAAACAGUUAUAAACAGAUAUAAACAGAUAUAAACAGUCAGAAACAGUUAUAAACAGAUAGAAACAGAUAUAAACAGUCAGAAACAGUUAUAAACAGACAGAAACAGAUAGAAACAGUUAUAAACAGACAGAAACAGAUAUAAACAGACAGAAACAGUCAGUAACAGAUAGAAACAGACAGAAACAGUCAGAAACAGACAGAAACAGAUAGAAACAGUUAUAAACAGACAGAAACAGAUAUAAACAGAUAUAAACAGUCAGAAACAGUUAUAAACAGACAGAAACAGAUAGAAACAGUUAUAAACAGACAGAAACAGAUAUAAACAGAUAUAAACAGUCAGAAACAGUUAUAAACAGACAGAAACAGAUAGAAACAGUUAUAAACAGACAGAAACAGAUAUAAACAGACAGAAACAGUCAGUAACAGAUAGAAACAGACAGAAACAGUCAGAAACAGAUAGAAACAGUUAUAAACAGACAGAAACAGAUAUAAACAGUCAGAAACAGUUAUAAACAGACAGAAACAGAUAGAAACAGUUAUAAACAGACAGAAACAGUCAGUAACAGAUAGAAACAGACAGAAACAGUCAGAAACAGACAGAAACAGGUAGAAACAGUUAUAAACAGACAGAAACAGAUAUAAACAGUCAGAAACAGUUAUAAACAGACAGAAACAGAUAUAAACAGUCAGAAACAGUUAUAAACAGACAGAAACAGAUAUAAACAGUCAGAAACAGAUAGAAACAGACAGAAACAGUCAGUAACAGAUAGAAACAGAAGAAACAGUGAACUGCAGCCUCCCAGCAGGGCACACGGCACACACACACACACACUCACACACACACACACACACACACACACACACACACACACACACACACACACACACACUCAGCAGGACUUCAGCUCUCCAUCUGCUGUCUGAACAACUCCAUCAAUUAACAAGUCAAUGAACACAAACGGCUCCAUUAUCAUCCUCCUCCUCUUCCUCCUCCUCUUUCUCCUCCUCUUCUUCCUCCUCCUCCUCUCUUCCUCCUCCUCUCUUCCUCCUCCUCCUCUUCAUCGUGAUAUUACAGACAUUAGAGGGUAACUGCAGAUGAGUCAGGUUGUGGAUAGUGUCACUCUAAUCUCAAUCACAUCCCCCGCCUCCUGAGGCCUGAGCAGGGGUUAUGGCGGGGUCAGCCACAGGGUGCCAGGAGCCGCUAGUUAACUGAUGUAAAUUAGAUAAUCAUACGUUAGCUAGGUUAAGUGCUAGUUACAUCAGUUACAUCAGAAAGCUAUUGCAUUUAUUAAGUUGUGCUGUUGUACAGUUAUCACUGAGGUCCGGCUUCACCAGAUAAAACCUGUUUUGUUUUUUGUGUUGACGUGGUUGUUUGUUGACAUUAGCAGACUCCCUAUCUAAGCUAACAUUAGUGCUGCACAAUGU
Long non-coding RNA from Dicentrarchus labrax (European seabass), 3732 nucleotides. Lineage: Eukaryota; Metazoa; Chordata; Actinopteri; Moronidae. The record is from Ensembl.